CCUAAAUGUAUUAGGAGUCUCUACUCAAGAUUAAGUUGAUUAUAGUUCUUAUGAAAACUUAGUAUUAUAAUUAAAAUGGGACAUUGAAAUACUUGACAUUAUAUUAUGUUUAUAUCACUGCUUCAUUAACACAGUGUCCUCUUAAGCAUAGUGUUAAAAUACUACAUUGUGGAGAUAUUUUCUUUUCAGACAUGUGUAGUAUAGAAAAACAGCUUAGAAUUUGGGGCCAAAAGACCAGAGUUUAUAUCCCCACUGUGCCACUAUGAGUAUGGUCUUGAGGAAAUCAUUUUACUAACGUAGAUUUUCCCUCAUCUAGUAAAUGGGAAUAAUAAUUCUUUUACCUGUGAGGUUAUGAUAAAAGUGAUUUGCAAAUUAUUAAGUAGUGAAGUAAUGUGAGGUACUAUUCUAAUUACAGUGAUCCUGACUAUAUCUAUAUUUUUAAGAUUGGCUCCUAGAAAAAGAGCAUAAUGUCAUCAUUCUCGCAGAUAUUUCAUGGAAAUUCCUAGGCCAGAACUCAGAAAAAUCUAAGAGGUCCUGGAAUUGUUUACUUCGUUCUGAGUUACUAUCAUGUAGGAAUUAUAAAAGAGAAAAUCUACAGGGCAAGCCAAGCAUGCAACACAAAGCAAAAGGACAUCAUCUGUCAAUCAAAAAAGGAACAUUCCAUUUGGAAUGUUCCCAGGAGGAGGCAGUUGAAAGUUAAUCCCACAGUGGAACUGAACUAACUCUCUUGGUUUUGGAGAAAGAAGGGAAGGACAGUUCAUCCGCUUCUGACCAAGGGAGAGACUGGCUUCUUCUGACCUAGGCUGAGACUUUGGUGUGGCUGAUGUUGGUGAAUGACCAUUAUAUACUGGGCUGAUUAGAAGAAGACAGAAGAAAAUCAAUUGGCUUUCAUAUCUCCCUGACAGAUUUUUGUGUCACAGCUGUGACAGUACUGACAUUUCCCAAAAUCCUCUUAACCCUCAUUAUAGACUAGGUAUAACCCCAUCCCUCUCACCUCAUCAUCCAUCCUUGUCCUGUUUUUCCCAAUAAACCCCCUUACUUGAGAAAGAGAGAAAGAGUA
RNAcentral lists this long non-coding RNA (1060 nucleotides) under Monodelphis domestica (gray short-tailed opossum). Its description in RNAcentral is "lncRNA (ENSMODG00000050848.1)". The record is from RNAcentral. Lineage: Eukaryota; Metazoa; Chordata; Mammalia; Didelphimorphia; Didelphidae.